GUGUACAGCCACAUUGCCCUGAACAUGCCCGAUAUUGUCUGAUUUCGGAAGCUAAGCAGGGUCGGGCCUGGUUAAUACUUGGGUGGGAGAAAGAGUACUCUAGUUAGGCCUUGUAGCUGCCUAGG
This is a ribosomal RNA of Cercocebus atys (sooty mangabey), 125 nucleotides long. NCBI's taxonomy places the organism in Eukaryota, Metazoa, Chordata, Mammalia, Primates, Cercopithecidae. The record is from Ensembl.